UACGUAGGGGGCAAGCGUUGUCCGGAUUUAUUGGGCGUAAAGAGCGUGUAGGCGGCCAGGUAGGUCAGCUGUGAAAACUCGAGGCUCAACCUCGAGACGUCGGUUGAAACCAUCUGGCUAGAGUCCGGAAGAGGAGAGUGGAAUUCCUGGUGUAGCGGUGAAAUGCGCAGAUAUCAGGAAGAACACCCGUGGCGAAGGCGGCUCUCUGGGCCGUAACUGACGCUGAGGAGCGAAAGCAUGGGGAGCGAACAGG
Molecule: ribosomal RNA, 253 nt
Filed under: uncultured bacterium
Lineage: Bacteria
Description: partial 16S ribosomal RNA
Rfam family: Bacterial small subunit ribosomal RNA
Source: RNAcentral